RNAcentral lists this ribosomal RNA (191 nucleotides) under uncultured bacterium. Its description in RNAcentral is "partial 16S ribosomal RNA". It matches the Rfam family "Bacterial small subunit ribosomal RNA", at positions 338 to 521 of the family's 1533-position model. The record is from RNAcentral.
CCUACGGGAGGCAGCAGUGGGGAAUAUUGGACAAUGGGCGAAAGCCUGAUCCAGCAAUGCCGCGUGUGUGAAGAAGGCCUUCGGGUUGUAAAGCACUUUCAGUGGGGAAGAAAAGCCUGGGGCUAAUAUCCCCGGGUGUUGACGUUACCCACAGAAGAAGCACCGGCUAACUCCGUGCCAGCAGCCGCGGU